UACGAAGGGGGCAAGCGUUGUUCGGAAUUACUGGGCGUAAAGCGUGCGUAGGCGGCCAUUCAAGUUGGGAGUGAAAUCCCGGGGCUCAACCCCGGAAUUGCUCUCAAAACUGUUUGGCUAGAAUCUCGGAGAGGAUAGCGGAAUUUCCAGUGUAGAGGUGAAAUUCGUAGAUAUUGGAAGGAACAUCAGUGGCGUAGGCGGCUAUCUGGACGAGUAUUGACGCUAAGGCACGAAAGUGUGGGGAGCAAACAGG
RNAcentral lists this unclassified non-coding RNA (253 nucleotides) under uncultured Alphaproteobacteria bacterium. Its description in RNAcentral is "contains 16S-23S intergenic spacer region". It matches the Rfam family "Bacterial small subunit ribosomal RNA", at positions 524 to 776 of the family's 1533-position model. Lineage: Bacteria; Pseudomonadati; Pseudomonadota; Alphaproteobacteria. The record is from RNAcentral.